AGUGAACGCUGGCGGUAGGCCUAACACAUGCAAGUCGAACGGCAGCACAGUAAGAGCUUGCUCUUACGGGUGGCGAGUGGCGGACGGGUGAGGAAUACAUCGGAAUCUACUUUUUCGUGGGGGAUAACGUAGGGAAACUUACGCUAAUACCGCAUACGACCUACGGUUGAAAGCAGGGUAUCUUCGGACCUUGCGCGCUUUAAUGAUCCGAUGUCGGAUUAGCUAGUUGGCGGGGUAAAGGCCCACCAAGGCGACGAUCCGUAGCUGGUCUGAGAGGAUGAUCAGCCACACUGGAACUGAGACACGGUCCAGACUCCUACGGGAGGCAGCAGUGGGGAAUAUUGGACAAUGGGCGCAAGCCUGAUCCAGCCAUACCGCGUGGGUGAAGAAGGCCUUCGGGUUGUAAAGCCCUUUUGUUGGGAAAGAAAAGCAGCAGGUUAAUACCCCGCUGUUCUGACGGUACCCAAAGAAUAAGCACCGGCUAACUUCGUG
Molecule: ribosomal RNA, 492 nt
Filed under: uncultured bacterium
Lineage: Bacteria
Description: partial 16S ribosomal RNA
Rfam family: Bacterial small subunit ribosomal RNA
Source: RNAcentral